CACUUUGCCCCCUUCGGUGACUACUACACUACCACUAUUGCUGACUGCUGCUACGUUGCUGCUCCAUUCGGCUCUUGCAUUGCUCAUCUCGCUCCGGCAGCACAAGAGCGCUUCAUUUGGAAGUGGAACGACUUAAACAACGCGCAGCACUAACUCGGAAGCCUAAAAUAUCCUUAAUUAUAUUCUAUUAGCAGACACUACACUAUCUAUCGAUAGCAGAAGCUCCGUACAUCGUGCCGUUCCAACGGAAGCAAGGCGAGUAGGCAGGGCGUCAGUGCGUGUAAUUGCUCCACAACUCUUGAAUUACAUGAAUGACCAAACUGCGCCGAGAUCAAGCCGGCGAAAGCGACUCCGUCGGGCCC
Odontomachus brunneus is the source of this 362-nucleotide long non-coding RNA. RefSeq lists it as uncharacterized. Lineage: Eukaryota; Metazoa; Arthropoda; Insecta; Hymenoptera; Formicidae. The record is from RefSeq and is a predicted model, not a curated record. The transcript is spliced from 3 exons.